Molecule: microRNA precursor, 87 nt
Filed under: Solanum tuberosum (potato)
Lineage: Eukaryota; Viridiplantae; Streptophyta; Magnoliopsida; Solanales; Solanaceae
Description: MIR8024 microRNA precursor family
Rfam family: MIR8024 microRNA precursor family
Source: Rfam by way of RNAcentral
UUGAAGAAUUUAAAGACUUUCAACUUGUAGACUUGAAGAAUUUGAAGACUUCAACUUGCAGACUUAAAGAAUUUGAAGACCUCAACU